RNAcentral lists this unclassified non-coding RNA (3191 nucleotides) under Hevea brasiliensis (rubber tree). Lineage: Eukaryota; Viridiplantae; Streptophyta; Magnoliopsida; Malpighiales; Euphorbiaceae. The record is from RNAcentral.
GUCACGUUUUAAAUUGGUAGUUCACAUUCCACGUUUCAAAUUGGUAAGGAGAGUAUCACAUACCCAUAGCAUGAUUUUCUCAACAAUAGUUAUAAAUGUUGUGUACUCCAACACUAUAGCAGUAGAACAAAGCAACACAGAAACAAAGAACCAGUUGAUGGUUGUGUUUAGGCAAAGUGAAUGUUUAACCAAAUAGCUGAAGGAUAAAAAGGAACCGAUCUCUACUGCCAAACAAUACCCUCUGGCAAGAAUCCCAGUAUACAACCGCUGCUAAAUUACCACCCAAGUCAAAAAGAAGUAGAUUUCACCAGAGCCGUCUCCAGAUCUAUAUGGUUACAAGUUCGAAACACAGAACCCAAUCAACACAAGCAGUGUGGGCUUCAACCGAGACAACUAAUCAUAUGAUAAAGUUGGCCUAAAUAUUUAGCUCAACUAGUCUGUACAUGCAUACGUCCUGCAACUCUGGUUGACACAGGAUGCACAUCUAUGGCAGCUUUGCUGCAGUUUUGUUUACUGCUUAAAAUGAGAAACUUUCUAAUCAUCCUUAUAUUUGUUUUACUCAGGAUAAUGCACUUGAUUUGUGGCUGCAAUAAGUUUUAUUUGUCAACAAGUACAGAUUUUGCUGUCCAAGAGAAUUUCUACUUGAAACUCAUGCAUAUUGGAGGAUGAAUUUUAGCCAAUGCAAGGAUGGAUGAAGGAAGAAUCCACAAGCCAUCUCCACAGAUCAAGCCAGAGGCCACUGCAGGAACCAUCAAACCUGCUUUACUGCGGUUUAGCUUGUGCCAUGCAAACACAAUCAGACUCCCCACACACAUAUCAAUUGCAAAGUACGCCCCCACUAGGAAAGGCACUGCCAUAGCCAUUGGAAGAGGGAUCCAUUUGCUAAUAUUUUUUGGGGAUAGAUCUCUGACCAAAUUGGCCAAAAUAGCAAAGGCAAAAAACCCAUAACAAAGCUGCAAGCAAUGCCGGGGAAGGGCAGAGAAACCUUCGACACCAAGAAUCGCCAUGUUUCUAUAUAUGAUGGCAUAGGGAGCUUUAUACUCUCCAUCGGGGUUCCCCACAUCAAAAGCCGUGUAGAAGAGAAAGAAUGUAAGGGGAGCUAUGAUACAGCCUAUUGCAGUACCAAUGACCUGGCUAAGAAGCAUCGAACGAGGAGAAGUGAGAGUGAGAUGACCAGUCUUGAAAUCAUGCAUCAAAUUAGAAGAGAUGGAAACUAUGGAUUUAAUCAGGCCACAGCCCACAAGUCCUGCAACAACACCGUUAUUUCUUCCUGCCAUGGCCGCAAGUACGAAGAGGGCCACCUUUCCAUAGUUAUAUGCCAUAUUCAUGUCAGUUAGACCAGCACCAUAAGCAUUGCAGAAGCUAAGAGAGGGUGCAAGAAUGUAGGCAACAACUACAUAAUACCAUUUUAGCUCAGGAAACAUGAGAGGGAUCACAAUGAUGGAAAUGAUGGAGAAGGCGGUGUAUCCUAACCCUGCUACCCACAUUGGAAUAGUCUCUCUCACGAAAGCUUCAUUUCUCCAAAGAUCAUCAGGAGCUUGAUUUGGCUUAUCUGAAAAUGCAUAUAGAAAAAUGAAGUUAACAUCUUAUGCUACACCAAUGAAUUCAACACAUAUCAAUGGUUUAUCUCUAUUCUAGUGUCACUAUUAAGUGCACCAAUUGCAGUGUGUAAAAUCGUGGUAAAGGUAGCAACAGGAAAGCAGCAGAAAAUUGCCUAUUAAGUUUCAUAGGUCUAUUAUUGCAAUGAAGUCAUCUUGAGAAAAGUGUUGGAGAGGAGCUACAACCGAACAUCUAGUAUUGACUUACAUGUUUUGGAAUUGUCAGUCUUUGCUCCGGCACGGAUGCUACUGGCAGUGAAAUAAAGUAUCUUGACAAAAUUAUAGAGCCCAUCUCCCAGGAUCAGGGCAAUAGAAAUAAAAACCUUGUAACCAUUUACACUCUUCAUACUGCUUUCUGGUACAGUAGCAGGGAACCAAUAUCCUUUAAGCCCUCCUAUUAGUGGCCACAUGAUUCCCCAAGAAAGUACCGCACCAAGAAGUAAAGACAAAUUCACAAGAUGAGAACAGAUCAUUCCUGCUCCAAUGUAAGUCAUACUGAAAUCAAAGUAAAAUGAGUUUUCCCAAGCUUUCAAUCCAAAUGUUGGGAAUUGAGCAAAACCACAAGUCUUUCCACCAGAGUAAAACCACUGAAAGAAAGCCCACAGGAAGCUUAUUGAAAAGAACUUAAGGAAUCCAUGAACCUGCUUCCUAGCAAUCUUGUCUCCUCUAGAAGUAUGGAACCCAUUAAUGAGAACCGCAGUAGCAGUUCCACUAGGGUAAGAUAAUUUGUAAUCUAUUAUCAUAAUCUUCCUAAGAGGAACCAAGGCAAGUAACCCAACAAAACUGGUUACAAAGAGGAAACCAGUCAUCCAACCAAUUCCAGGUUCUUUUGUGCUGCCAGGAUUAUUCCCUUCUGUAUCAACCCCAGCUUGCUCAUAUGUCUUCUUGUUCAAACCCAGAAGAUAAGACCCAAAACCACCUCCAAGAGCAAUGCUAUAACAAGCAACAGCACAAGUUUGAAUUAUGGUAUUUUCUUGUCGAGUGAACGGAUUGGUUACAAUUCCAGCCUUCUGGAGGAGUUUGGUCCAUGUUCUAACAAAAACAAAAGCCAGUAGGGCAGCAGAAACAUUCAGAUUAGGGACUAGCCCUGUGGUGAGGUUUAGCUUCAUCACUAUCACACUGUAUAUGAUGCCAAUUGCUAAGCUAGCUACGACUCCUCUAACUGUGAUCUGUCUAGUCCACGGAGCAACUCUACUUGUGUCCUCUGGCUUAUCUCUCAUCUCUUCCAAAUUCUCAUUCUCAAGCUUCUCAAUCUCUUUCAUUUCUUCCAUGUUCACAUUCUCCAUUAGAUUAUUCAUCAAAAUCUUCUCCUUUCUUGCUGCUGGUUUUCUUCUUCUUCUCUUUGGUAGGAAAUGGAUAAAAACGUUGAACAGAUCACAAAGAUCCAAAAUUGGAAUAUAUUGUCAACGACAAAUCUCAAAUAAACAUUACCCACUUGAGCAAAUCUUCCAAAAACAUCCACUCAGAUUGAAAAGUGGAAACUUUCAAAAUCAGCAGCAAAUGGGGGUAAUAUGAGCUCUGCGUUAGCCAACAAGCUACCUUAUAUAGAAGAAGAAAAAGCAAAAGCACCAGUUGAGACUUUUAAUGUAAUCA